CCUCCUCUUUUCGUCCCAAACUAAAACCCCUCUCCAAGCUUCCCACUGGCCAUAAAUUCCUAAAUCUAACCCUCCAUAGGCCCAAAAAUUCCUAGUUUCUACCUUAAAACUUGGGUAGACACUUUCUCUUGCCCUAUCCAUGAUCAAAACCCACUCUUUCAUGAUCUUUACCAAACUCUUGAAAUCCUCAUUUCAAAAAUCCUAAACAAACACUUCUAAAUCCCUCUUUUCUCUUCAUUCCCAUUAACCUUUCACCCUAUUCCUCUCUUGACU
This 273-nucleotide long non-coding RNA is filed under the name Elaeis guineensis (African oil palm). Its description in RNAcentral is "long non-coding RNA (EGUI_LNC045509)". Lineage: Eukaryota; Viridiplantae; Streptophyta; Magnoliopsida; Arecales; Arecaceae. The record is from RNAcentral.